GAUGAACGCUAGCUACAGGCUUAACACAUGCAAGUCGAGGGGCAGCAUGAACUUAGCUUGCUAAGUUUGAUGGCGACCGGCGCACGGGUGAGUAACACGUAUCCAACCUGCCUAUGACUCGGGGAUAGCCUUUCGAAAGAAAGAUUAAUACCCGAUGGCAUAGUUCUUCCGCAUGGUAGAACUAUUAAAGAAUUUCGGUCAUCGAUGGGGAUGCGUUCCAUUAGGUUGUUGGCGGGGUAACGGCCCACCAAGCCUUCGAUGGAUAGGGGUUCUGAGAGGAAGGUCCCCCACAUUGGAACUGAGACAAGGUCCAAACUCCUACGGGAGGCAGCAGUGAGGAAUAUUGGUCAAGGGACGAGAGUCUGAACCAGCCAAGUAGCGUGAAGGAGGACUGCCCUAGGGGUUGUAAACUUCUGUUAUAAGGGAAUAAAGUGAGGCACGUGUGCCUUUUUGUAUGUACCGGAUGAAUAAGGAUCGGCUAACUCCGUG
This 489-nucleotide ribosomal RNA is filed under the name uncultured bacterium. RNAcentral's name for it is "partial 16S ribosomal RNA". It matches the Rfam family "Bacterial small subunit ribosomal RNA", at positions 28 to 507 of the family's 1533-position model. The record is from RNAcentral.